This 851-nucleotide ribosomal RNA is filed under the name uncultured bacterium. RNAcentral describes it as "bacterial SSU rRNA". It matches the Rfam family "Bacterial small subunit ribosomal RNA", at positions 58 to 916 of the family's 1533-position model. The record is from RNAcentral.
CAAGUCGAACGGAAUCCAUGGUGUAGCAAUACACCGGAAGAUUUAGUGGCGAACGGGUGAGGAUCACGUGAGAAACGUGCCCCAGACUCUGGGAUAACAAUUGGAAACGAUUGCUAAUACCGGAUGACGUCGGAGAAUCGCAUGAUUCACUGACGAAAGAUAUUUCGGUUUGGGAGCGUCUCGCGGCCUAUCAGCUUGUUGGUGGGGUAAUGGCCUACCAAGGCAACGACGGGUAGCUGGUCUGAGAGGAUGAUCAGCCACACUGGGACUGAGACACGGCCCAGACUCCUACGGGAGGCAGCAGUGGGGAAUCUUGCGCAAUGGGCGAAAGCCUGACGCAGCAACGCCGCGUGCGGGAUGAAGGCCUUCGGGCUGUAAACCGCUUUCAGCAGGAACGAAAAUGACGGUACCUGCAGAAGAAGGAGCGGCCAACUACGUGCCAGCAGCCGCGGUGACACGUAGGCUCCAAGCGUUGUCCGGAUUUAUUGGGCGUAAAGAGCUCGUAGGCGGUUGAGUAAGUCGGGUGUGAAAACUCUGGGCUUAACCCGGAGACGCCAUCCGAUACUGCUCUGACUAGAGUUCAGGAGGGGAGUGGGGAAUUCCUAGUGUAGCGGUGAAAUGCGCAGAUAUUAGGAGGAACACCGGUGGCGAAGGCGCCACUCUGGACUGAAACUGACGCUGAGGAGCGAAAGCAUGGGUAGCAAACAGGAUUAGAUACCCUGGUAGCCCAUGCCGUAAACGGUGGGCACUAGGUGUGGGUUCCAACUAACGGGAUCCGCGCCGUCGCUAACGCAUUAAGUGCCCCGCCUGGGGAGUACGGUCGCAAGACUAAAACUCAAAGGAAUUGACGG